GGGAGUUUAGCUCAGCUGGUUCAGAGCACCUGCCUUACAAGCAGGGGGUCACUGGUUCGAAUCCAGUAAUUCCCACCA
Molecule: transfer RNA, 78 nt
Filed under: Marinilabiliales bacterium
Lineage: Bacteria; Pseudomonadati; Bacteroidota; Bacteroidia; Marinilabiliales
Description: tRNA-Val
Rfam family: tRNA
About the family: Transfer RNA (tRNA) molecules are approximately 80 nucleotides in length. Their secondary structure includes four short double-helical elements and three loops (D, anti-codon, and T loops).
Source: RNAcentral